RNAcentral lists this non-coding RNA (26 nucleotides) under Drosophila melanogaster (fruit fly). Lineage: Eukaryota; Metazoa; Arthropoda; Insecta; Diptera; Drosophilidae. The record is from RNAcentral.
UCACACCAGAUGCAGUAUGAAGUAGC